This is a long non-coding RNA of Canis lupus familiaris (dog), 1517 nucleotides long. RefSeq lists it as uncharacterized. NCBI's taxonomy places the organism in Eukaryota, Metazoa, Chordata, Mammalia, Carnivora, Canidae. The transcript is spliced from 2 exons. The record is from RefSeq and is a predicted model, not a curated record.
CUUCCUGCCGCCGCCAUUUUGUCAAGUGAGGAGGAGGAGGAGGAGGAAGCGGCCGCCGCGGGGCUCGCGGCGCGCCCGGCCCCGCACAACUUUACCCAACUGAGCUGCCCCCAAGGCCCGGCCUUGGACGAAAAUGGGAAAUCCCACUUUGGUGUAGUGGACAGUGUGAAUACUUAUAUUCAGGCCCGUGGAUGAGUCAUGUGCUUUCGCUGAGUGGCUGACCUCCCAUUUACUGAAGACCACGCGUUGUUUUUUUUUUUUUUUUUAAAUGUUAUUCUAAUUUGUUUACUCAUUUAAUGUUUUCUGCAACCUGGUGGGGUUUAUGGCCCUGGUCUUUGGGUUCAUUUAUAUGUGUGUUGGAUGCAAGAAGUGACCUCUUGGAGUUUGUGUUUUGUGAGAAUUGACGUGUUUUUGCUUCCCUCUGAGAGGGCUCUACUUGUCUGUGUUUACAGAGAGCGAGUCUCAGUGCACCUCUAAGCCAGUGGCUCUUUCGUGCUGUAAUCAUGGUUGGGAUAUUUUUAUGAAUGGGGCUGUCAAGUUCCUUAAGUUGUGAGUCCUUAGAAUUUGUAGUUUGGAAGUGCUAGAGAAAGCGAUACUCGGCAGGAUUUAUGAAUGUAUUUUCAAUACCAGGUAGACUUUGGAUGGUAAAAUCUGUUUUAUGACCUUGCCAGUAAUUUAAUAAAGCAUUCUUUUUGGUUUAAUUUGGAUGGGGAUUAUCUAUUUUCAAGGUGUAAUAGAUAACCAACCGGUUUUCCCCCAAAACUUCAACCUGGGGAAGAUAAACCUCUCAGACGGUUUCUGUUGACUAUAGAAGGAAGAGCAUGACCUGAAACAAAAUGCAUUUCUCCCCAGUUAUCCACCAUACUUCUGUCUUUAGUAGAAAACAGUAUCUACGGGCUCAAGCUGUGGAGUAAAUCUCUUAAUAAGAUCACUUUACUUUGGUCUUAACUGGAAGAUGAGCCCACCUGUGUGUUUUUAGAUAGAAUUCAGCCCCAGCUAAUUUGUUAAAGAUACGGAGCUCUGCCUACAAAUGAAAAGUUGGAACUUGAAAGUGACUAUAUUUUAAGGAUAGGUUGGCUGUUUAGAGUGUCAGUAUGGCUAGCUUCCCCUUAGCUUGGAUGGUGGUAGAAAAAAAAAAUUACCAAAGAAUUGCAAGAUAAUUAUUGGCCACUUUGUAAAAUUUCCACUAAAUUAUUGAAUUGCUUAAAGGAAUUUAGACUUUGUUUCCAAAAGUUACCUUUUUGAGCCAGUUGUUGUGAUCUUUGUACUAAAUUGCACUUUUGUUCUUGGAGGUUGGGAGGAUGCGAUAUUUUUCUGUUACACAAUUCAGGUUAUUGAAUGACUUGAGAUUUACAGAUUUGGAAGGAGGUUGGAGUCCUUGUUCUUAAUUUAAAGCAAAACCAUUUGGUACUUAAAUGAUUUACAGAUUCUGGGCUGUUAAAUCUUUUGACAACCCACUGUCAUCUGUCACAGUUGUAAAGUAUUUCAUUUCUGAUUCUUAAUAAACUGGUAGAUCA